Molecule: long non-coding RNA, 1324 nt
Organism: Pistacia vera
Lineage: Eukaryota; Viridiplantae; Streptophyta; Magnoliopsida; Sapindales; Anacardiaceae
Exons: 3
Source: RefSeq, a predicted model, not a curated record
UAUUACUUUUUAUUAAACACUUUCUUUUAUAUAUCCACCUCCAUCUUGACUUGGCCCCAGAAAACCCUCAACUCAUCACUCUCAUUUCUCUGAAUCAAAAUCAACCCAUCAUCUUACCGUGGAUGAAGAAUAUGAUGUCAUGGUAUUGGGCACUGGCCUCAAAUAAUGCAUCCUCAGUGGCCUCCUCUCUGUUGAUGGUCUCAUCUUAAGGUCCUGCACAUGGAUAGGAAUGACUAUUAUGGAGGAGAAUCAACAUCACUCAAUCUCAAUCAGGAGCUGAUAAUGUUCAACCAUCCAAUAACUUGAUUAGCAAAAAGGGAGAUGGAACCACUAGUAGAAUGAGGUAAGUUGAUCUUAUAGAAAAAGCCGAAAGUGAUGAAUCAGUAUUGAAAAGUAAAGGUAUGUGACUCGGAUAAAAAUUGAAAUUUAAUGCAUUUCAUAUUAAAUUUUAAGUUCUUUAUAUACAUUUUCACAUCUACAUUAUUUGGAAUUGAUAGAGAACAAAACGACUGAGGUGAUAAUAGUUGAUAAUGCCCGGUUCAGGCCAUUAAUCAAGGCUGUACAGGAGCGUAAUUGGAUAGUUUUACAAGAUUUGGUAAAUAGGACGCCUAGGGCCUUGACUAAAACUGUUUCAGAAUAUGGGGCUACCAUUUUUCACAUAAUUAAUGCAUGGGGUGCCCUCAUUUGGCUUAUAAAGAAGCCUGCAUUCAAGGUCAGUGCAAAAGAACUUUAAAUUUGAGAGGAUAUUCUGGCCGAUCCAUUAUAUUCCUGCUAUUUGUGGCAAUAGAAAGGCUAUAAAAGCUUAUCUCCUUAGGCAUGCAGAAUUUCCAAACAUGAGGAACGGAGACGGUUUUCUUCCAACAUGUAGCAGCAGAAUAUGGCUACAAGGGAAUAAUUCAAUUUCUUCUGUCAAAACAAAAGUACAUAUGGAUGACGGUAAAGGUGUUAAAACUGAUUAAAGAUCUCAUCAGUCUCCUUGUUCAAUUGAAGUUUUUCAAAACAAAACUUAUAUCGGAGAAAACAUAAUUAAAUAAUAUGGAAGUUAAUUAAAUCUGAAAUCUCAGUUACAUUGGGUAGAAUGAAGUGAAUUAUGUAGCUUACUAAAGAGUACUACAACUAAGGAAAAGUAAUACAAGCAAGGAACUCCUUUAUGUAGACAAAAAUACUACUGAGGAAACGUACUUUAUAAUGAUACGAGGUAAGAGGUAAUCUUCAUUAUAGCCAUAUCAUAAAAUUUUUUAAUUAAAUAGCUUGUACAUAGUUGGCGUUUGUCAAACUAAGCUCUAUUAUUUCUAUAAUUUGAUUUUGCUUUCUCUGCUUCUUA